Molecule: long non-coding RNA, 990 nt
Filed under: Ananas comosus (pineapple)
Lineage: Eukaryota; Viridiplantae; Streptophyta; Magnoliopsida; Poales; Bromeliaceae
Description: long non-coding RNA (ACOM_LNC002098)
Source: RNAcentral
AAUAGGCAGUAGAAAGGUCAUUUUCUGCCACGAGUCAAUAUAGAAUUUAGUUCAGGUAUAAGUAAGAACUGCAAGUUCUAAGGAUAGAUACAAGUUCAGAUAAAAGCAGGAAUUAGACCAAUUUUACGUUUGAAAAUUGGGUUAUUCUUAGAAAUAAGAUAAAUAAUAUUUGGAUCGUUAGAUUGAAACAAGAGGAAUAAGAGUUAUAAUUUGAAAUUAAAAUUAUAUUAUGUAAUUAAUUAACAUCAAAAUAUUACUUAAAAAUAAAAUAAUAAAUUAAUUAUUAAUAAUGAAUUAUAAUAAAAAUAUGUAUUAAUAAUUAUUAAUAAUUAAUUAUAAAUAAUAAAUUAAUAAUANUAAUAAUAUCGCUUAUCUAAUUUUUAUUAAUAAUAAUAUCGAUUAUAUAAUUAAUAAUAAUAAUUAUUGUUAAUAUUUAUUAAUGAAUAAUAUUAAUUAUUAAUAAUUAAUUACUAGUAAUAAAUUAAUAAUAAUUAUUAUUUAAUUAUUAAUAAUUAAUUAUAAAUAAUAAAUUAAUAAUAAUAUCUCUUAUCAAAUUAUUAAGGAUAAUAAUUAUUAAUGAUUAUUAAUAAAUAAUAAUAAUAAUAAUAAUAAUUAAUUAUUAAUAAUUAAUUAUAAAUAAUAAAUUAAUAAUAAUAAUUAUCUAAUUAUUAAUAAUUAAUUAUAAAUAAUAAAUAAAUUAAUUAUUUAAUUAUUAUUGAAAUAAAUAAUAAUUUAAAUAUAUUAAUUAGGUUAAUUAAUAAUUUACUGUCAUUAAAAUUUAAUUUAGAUUUUAAUUAACCUUGUUCUUAUCAAGAAACAAGCUUGUUCCAGAAUAAAUGUGGAACAACAGUUCCAAUCUUAUACCAGUUUGUUCUUAAAAUCCUGGAACUACUGUUCCUGGGUACCAAACAUCACGUUUGGGAACAAAGAGGGGAACAAGGACUUAUUCCCGCCCUUGGUCUCGAACCAAACGCUACCUUAAGAUUUUAA